CAUCUCUGUCAAAGCCUCUUUCGUUGGCUGUCGAUGUUGGUCCUCUCUGCCCUCCCCCUCCGUCUCCCUCUGCCUCCCUCUGCCUCCUUCGCUUUCUACGGCAUUGCUGGAUCCACAAUCUACUGCCUUAUUCCUCCUCUUUCCACAACUCUCACACUCUUUCUAUCCUCCAGCAUGGUAGACUACACCACACCGCUGUUCAUUCAGAGCAUGUGUGUGAUGAAGAGAGUGAGAGAGUGAGAGAGAGAGAGAGAGAGAGAGAGAGUGAGAGAUAGAGAGAGAGAGGAGGGGAGAAAGAGCGAGAGCGACCAAAGAGAGGGAGAAUCAGCAGGAAGAGAGGGGGUAAGGAAGUGUGGAUAGUGGCAGAAGGCGUAUGUGUGCCAGUACGGUACAGUAUGUAUCGGUACGCGUGUUCUCAUAUCUGUAUCCACGCCAGAAAACUUACUGGCACGUUUUCAGCACGAGACUGUACAGCCGCGCUCGAGCGGAUUCGUUAGGUGAACUUUUACCUGAAAUUAUACUGUACGUCCUUGACCCUAUUACGCAGAUCACUGUCCUAUAAAAAGAUCACGUGCGCUGGGAAGGGAAAAAGAGAGUGCUGCAGGGCGCUCAGGGACAGGGACGCUGGAAUUGUGACACAGUUGAGCUCGUGCGGACCGAUGGAAAACGAGGAACGGAGAAGGAUGAUGCAGAGAGCGGAAGCUGAUAUUAAAAAUGACUCGGCGAGGCAAGGACAAUGAUGGAGGCGGUGAAGCGACGCCAGAAAGGAUGUAGCCAUGUGUGGGGUCCUGGAAAAGUGGGGCUGGGGCGAGAACAGAAGAGCUGAGAGUGCCCUUCAUAGUAUGACCUCCAGAUGGAGUCACCACAGGGGUGGGAGUGUGAUGGAGAGAAAAUGAAAGAGUGCAGGGGGUUGCUGGGAGCUCUCUCCGUGACUGGGACAGAAUGACAUCACAUGAGGCAGCUUUAUGUUUACUGUGUGAGGUGCUAAUGAAAAGAGCACAGCAGUGUUAAUUUACCAGCACACGACUCACAGACAGUUCGACAGACUGGGAGAGAGAGAGUGAGAUUACAACCAUGGCCACCAAAUACAGAUAUUACAGUCUUUCAUAUUUCAUGGGUGUGUGAUCUCAAAUCAAAGGGGCUCGGACAAUAUUUUUGUCCCACCCUGCUCCUCAAGUGAGCAGGCUACACCAUAGAGGACCUCAUUUCUCCAAGCCCCUGACAACAGCCCAGGGUGAUACAUGACACAUUUUAUGUGAACCAUCCUAUGAAAGUAUAUUUCUUAUGACUUAGGGGAUGUUCACAUAAGAAUGUCUUUUUGGAUUUAAAAAUGUGAGACACGGAGGAGUGGAAUAAAAAUAAAAGCAUAGAGACACUGUUUUUAAAAACGGAACCUAUUUUAACUAGACCAUAAGCGCCAUGGUCAAACACGUUUAUGGGCAUGUUCACAUUUUCAGAGAGAAAAUCAUUCCAACAUGGAAAAGCAGCAUAUUGGAAUUAGUGGUCGACCGAUAUAUAUAUCGCUGAUAUAUUGGCUGAGAUUUGCCAUUUUUCAAAUAUUGGCAUUGGACGACAAAUUCUUUUAUUUGGCCGAUAUGCUCGAGGCAGGACUGUUAUUUUGACGGGGUUGAGAAUGGAAGUGCCUACGCACAUCGUUCUGUCUAAUACACAUAGAGGUCUAUCUAAUAAUCAGACAGAACUGUUAAACAAUGGAAUUAAAAUGUAUACAAAAAGCCUUUUAAUGAGUUCUUUAAAAUAAUAAGUAUAAAACAAAGAUUAUAUUACUUUCUUCUUCGCCGUCAGCAUUUAGCAAAUAGGCAUUUAUAUAAACACAUUUGUGAAUGACUAAUGAACAUUUAAAUUCACAAAACAUGCAGGCUUAAUCGAAUCUAGUUAUGAUCUUGUGAAGUAUGCUUUUGUGUCCUGCAUGAUCUUGUGUUUUUUGCCCUCUGUCAUAUUCGUCUAUUUUCACUAUAUUCUGUAUGUAAUAUGACUAUAUUACUAUAUUAUAUAUAUGACUAUAAUAUAAAAUUAUCAUUCCCAAAGCAUGCAAACUAUCCAGAACUAUCCAGAGUGCCCUAUUGGUUACAGUAUUUACUUUCUUUUUAAUUAGAAUUAUACUAUCAGCCAAAAACCCAUAUCGGUCGACCACUAAUUGAAAUGCAAACAUAUUUCAAAUGAAUGCAAUCCAAUUAAUUAAUAUUUAAAAAUAAGAUAAAAUCAUCUUCUUUACAAUUAUUUGUUACCUAAUUUGGAAUUAAUCUUACAUAUAUUUAGUUUUUAUUGCU
Molecule: long non-coding RNA, 2288 nt
Organism: Puntigrus tetrazona (Sumatra barb)
Lineage: Eukaryota; Metazoa; Chordata; Actinopteri; Cypriniformes; Cyprinidae
Exons: 3
Source: RefSeq, a predicted model, not a curated record